UCCGCUGAGGAUGGCUUUUCCCCGGUGUAAUGAGCCGGGGGAAUAAGGAGAGGGCAAGUCUGGUGUCAGCCGCCGCGGUAAUACCAGCUCUCCGAGUGGUAGGGAUGAUUAUUGGGCUUAAAGCGUCCGUAGCCGGCUUAGCAAGUCUCCUGUCAAAUUCAGCGACUUAAUCGUUGAGCCGCGGGAGAUACUACUAGGCUAGGAGGCGGGAGAGGCCGACGGUAUUCUCGGGGUAGGGGUGAAAUCCUAUAAUCCCGGGAGAACCACCAGUGGCGAAGGCUGUCGG
This 286-nucleotide ribosomal RNA is filed under the name Candidatus Bathyarchaeota archaeon. RNAcentral's name for it is "partial 16S ribosomal RNA". It matches the Rfam family "Archaeal small subunit ribosomal RNA", at positions 391 to 679 of the family's 1478-position model. The record is from RNAcentral. Lineage: Archaea; Thermoproteati; Candidatus Bathyarchaeota.